This 2102-nucleotide long non-coding RNA is filed under the name Triticum aestivum (bread wheat). Its description in RNAcentral is "long non-coding RNA (TAES_LNC007648)". The record is from RNAcentral. Lineage: Eukaryota; Viridiplantae; Streptophyta; Magnoliopsida; Poales; Poaceae.
CCCGUCAGACUAAAGAUGAUGGUAGAGUUUUUCCUGUCAACGACAACUCUGCUUUGAUGCGGCGCCUCGGCCUCCCGUGGAUGAGCUGAUGAUGAGGUACGCCCUCCUCUCCUUCCUUCCCCUUCCUGUCGCCCAAACAGUGACUAGUGUGUAUGCUGCAUUUUUAUUACGCCUACUCAGAGAAAUCACACGUAGAUGAAGUUGAGGAUUGCUAGGUAGUUAGUUGCAUGGUGAAAUUGACUUGGCUUAGAAUCUGGUGGUAGCUUGUCAUAGAUGAUAUGGUUCCCUCAAUGAAGAACUCUUAUGGCAUUUUUAGAUGAAUGAAUCAGAUUGCAAAUUUGUUUGAUUUUUUUCUUUUUUUAUUCAAAAAAGGAGGUUAAACCCCCGGCCUUUGCAUCAAUAUGACGCACACGGCUAUUUUUAUUAAUUAUUCAGCAGAGUACUGCAAAUUUGUUUGAUACUCACACCUGAUUGUUGAUUCGUUCGCUAUAUAUAUGUUGGUGUCGAACAUCCUGAUCCUUGUUUGGUGAAACAGCAGCAACAACAACAACAACAACAAUAACAACAACAACAAAGCCUUUAGUCCCAAACAAGUUGGCGUAGGCUAGAGGUGAAACCCAUAAGAUCUCGCAACCAACUCAUGGCUCUGGCACAUGGAUAGCAAGCUUCCACGCACCCCUGUCCAUAGCUAGCUCUUUGUCGAUACUCCAAUCCUUUAGGUCUCUCUUAACGGACUUGUUUGGUGAAACAGCAGUUGUUUUAUUUUGGUUUGAGUUCCUAUAUUGGUGCAGAGAUAUGAUUGAAAAUAAAUGUGCUUAUGUACCGGACUGCCAGUUCACAUUUCAACAUGGCUGGUUUGUUGUAUCUUAGUUUGCCGAUAGAUUCCUGGAUGGCCAGAUUUGAUAGCUAGCUUGAUUGUUUCUCACGUUUUAUCGGGGGAUGUCCUUUGCCCAAUUCCAUGGCUGAUUGUGUGUUAUUUCGUGUGGACGGGUACAGAAUUGCAGGCACGGAGGGGUUGUACACGGAGCUGCAGGGAAAGAUGAUGGGCAAUAAGGCCACAGAGUAAGCGCUCAUCUUUGUCGAGGAGUGCGGACUCACCAGCCUUCUCACGCCGGAUCAGUUCCUCAAGGAGUGGGAGAGUAUGCUCCAGGGGAUCUCUUCCUCCUGCGCGCCUGGUGAGAACGCUUUGUCUGUAACUCCCCUUCUAAUGAUACUCUUGUGGUUUGUAUUUGUAAGUGAUGGUGUCAAGCUUCAGUUGUCAGUUGUGUGGGGCAACUAAAUUGUGAGUUUAACAUGGCUGUAUAAUUGUAGGAUCAUUACGUCUUUGAUAGUUCAUUCACUGUGACUGCUUCAGUCGCUUUCAUGACUUGCUGCAAUCUCCCUUGCUUAUUUCUUAAAUUUCUCCACUCAAUUAUAAUGCUAAUUUCCAUAAUGGAGCCUUUAAUCAUACUUAUAAUCUUCAGCUUUCAGCAUUAUAUCUUUGAAGCACCGCUGUUUCCUUUACCUCCCGCCUUGAUUUGUUUGACCUUCUGCAUUGAGCUCCUGAUGCAAUUAUGAUUUGGGCUGCUGUGUGUCGUGAAGAUAGUAAUACGAUCGAUGAUUUACAAGUAAUUUAUUUAUUGCACUCCACUUGUUUUACAUAUGAUUUUUGAUGCGUUAAAACUGUUGUUGUGGUUCAGAUGCUUGGCAAGAUUGAUGUUGUUGGCGGCACAAGGGGCAAGGCGGUGAAGAGAGAAGGAAGUGCAUGCUGAAGGAAGUGCUUUGUGUCACGCAAGUGCUAAUUGAUGGAUGGAUAUGGCUGGUGAUAGAUAUGUGUUGUGUACUUAGUAGAUAAAACGGCUUGGUUUUGUUUGCCAUGAACCUCAAAUGUUGGAAAUCGAUGUAAAUGCAUUUCCCAGCUCUUGUUUAUGUUGGGCUGGGCAAUGAGAUGAGCGAGGGCGAUACUAGAAACAUGCAUGCCACCGUAAAUUUCUGUAUUUCUUAAAUGAAGUGGAGGAAUUUAAGAAAUCUGAUUCAUGGAAUGACCAUGAAUCACACUCUGUGAAAUGAAAUGAAAAUGCAUCAAGCAGGAGUGAAGAAAUGAGCUUCAUUUUCAAGCCGAG